UGCAACGUCGGCCUGAAUGAGGGGGACGCAACGGAGGCAUGUUGGAGCCCCUGCCGUCGCGAUGACCCGCGGUAACCAGCGAGAGCUCGCCCGCCAGAAGAACAUGAAGAAGCAGAGCGACUCGGUUAAGGGAAAGCGCCGAGAUGAUGGGCUUUCUGCUGCCGCCCGCAAGCAGAGGGACUCGGAGAUCAUGCAGCAGAAGCAGAAAAAGGCAAACGAGAAGGAGGAACCCAAGUAGCCUUGUGGCUUCGUGUCCAACCCUCUUGCCCUCCGCCUGUGUGCCUGGAGCCAGUCCCACCAUGCUCGAGUUUCUUCCUGUAGUGCUCACAGGUCCCAGCACCGAUGGCAUUCCCUUUGCCCUGAGUCUGCAGCGGGUUCCUUUUGUGUUUCCUUCCCCUCCCUCUGGGCCACUCCUGGGGGUGAGGGGGUUACCCCUUCCCAGUGUUUUUUAUUCCUGUGGGGCACACCCCAAAGUAUUAAAAGUAGCUUUGUAAUU
Non-coding RNA from Mus caroli (Ryukyu mouse), 496 nucleotides. The record is from RefSeq and is a predicted model, not a curated record. NCBI's taxonomy places the organism in Eukaryota, Metazoa, Chordata, Mammalia, Rodentia, Muridae.